Molecule: non-coding RNA, 218 nt
Organism: Pelobates cultripes (western spadefoot toad)
Lineage: Eukaryota; Metazoa; Chordata; Amphibia; Anura; Pelobatidae
Source: the annotation of a GenBank genome assembly
GGGAGAUUGAUGCUGCCAUAAAAAUAACCAGGAAUAGAAAAUUACAGUAAAUAUGACAUAAAUUAUCUUUAUUCCUGGCUAAUCGUAGCAGCAUCACUCGUGUAAUACCAUGCAUAACAACCAAUCAGGAAGGGAAAAAAUGACUCAAUACAAACUUAUGAAAGUGAGAACAAAUUUUAUUAAAGUGAGGAUUAGAAGAAAGAACUUAUUUGCCAAAG